Long non-coding RNA from Oreochromis niloticus (Nile tilapia), 527 nucleotides. RefSeq lists it as uncharacterized. Lineage: Eukaryota; Metazoa; Chordata; Actinopteri; Cichliformes; Cichlidae. The record is from RefSeq and is a predicted model, not a curated record. The transcript has 2 exons.
UUGAACAGAUUUCCAGUGAAUUCUGGGAAGUGUAGUAACACCUGAUAACAGCCAGAGCUGAGCCUUUAUUCUUUAAAUUUGAGUUUCCUGUCAGAAUAAAAGCCUUCUUCAGCUACUCACCGUGGUAAACAUCAUAGCCUCCCCUCUCAUCUGAUUGGCUUAUGCCCGCCACAUAUUUUAUAGGAUCAUCACUCUUCCCACUGUUGAUGAUGUCAUCAACACCAACAGUGAUCACCUGACCUGCAAUCAGCACAGUGUUCAUCAGCGCUGAUGUCAGCAGUGAUGUCAGCACUUACCUGCAGGUGGUGAACAGAAUGUCCUGGUUCUGCGUUCAGGUCUAUUCGAAGUGUAAUGUGUAAUUACAGUAAGUGGCCAACAGGGGGCCCUCACCCUGAAAGAAGAAGCUUCCGGGAGCUCCGAGCACUAGCCGACCGUCCUAAAACAUGCAGGGACAUGAAGCAUUAGCGCCACCGUGUGGAUCAUCAUUAUCAUCAUGGUACUCUGUGAUUCCCACAGGAAUGACUCCA